RNAcentral lists this small RNA (87 nucleotides) under Salmonella enterica. RNAcentral's name for it is "partial RtT sRNA". It matches the Rfam family "RtT RNA", at positions 1 to 86 of the family's 130-position model. From Rfam's summary of the family: This family represents a bacterial cis-regulatory element known as RtT RNA. The record is from RNAcentral. RNAcentral also lists the same sequence under 1 other name. Lineage: Bacteria; Pseudomonadati; Pseudomonadota; Gammaproteobacteria; Enterobacterales; Enterobacteriaceae.
AUAUCUCUCUGUACGGGAAGGAUGAGAAGCUUCGACCAAGGUUCGAUUCGAGCGCAGCGAGAAAGCGUUGCCGCAGGCAACGACCCG